GACGAAGGUGGCGAGCGUUACUCGGAUUUACUAGGUGUAAAGCGUGGGCAGGUGGUUCGAUAAGUCUGUUGUGAAAGCUCCUGGCUUAACCGGGAGAGGCCAAUGGAUACUGUCGGGCUUGGAUAUGGGAGAGGUGACUGGAAUUCCUGGUGUAGCGGUGAAAUGCGUAGAGAUCAGGAGGAACAUCAAUGGCGAAAGCAGGUCACUGGACCAUUAUCGACACUCAUCCACGAAAGCUGGGGGAUCAAAC
Molecule: ribosomal RNA, 250 nt
Filed under: uncultured bacterium
Lineage: Bacteria
Description: partial 16S ribosomal RNA
Rfam family: Bacterial small subunit ribosomal RNA
Source: RNAcentral